Molecule: ribosomal RNA, 471 nt
Filed under: Triticum aestivum (bread wheat)
Lineage: Eukaryota; Viridiplantae; Streptophyta; Magnoliopsida; Poales; Poaceae
Description: partial small subunit ribosomal RNA
Source: RNAcentral
AUGGAGGGUGAGAAGAACUCGUCCGGGGACCUGAUGUCCAGCAGCAAGCUGGUCGCGGAGGCCGCCAAGACAGCCUACGAGCAGAAGAGCGUCGAGGGCAUCGACAAGGAAAAGGUAGCCGGCGCCUCCGCCGAGAUGCUGGACUCCGCCGCCAAGUACGGCAAGCUGGAGGACAAGCCGGUGGGACAGUACCUCGAGAAGGCCGAGGGGUACCUGAAACAGUACAGCUCCGGCGGCACCGAGAAGGAGAAAACCGACGCACCUGCUGCCGCUGACGCACCGAAGCCGGAUGCACCCAAGGAGGCAGCGCCUGCACCCGCCGCGGAGGAAGAGAAAGCGUCCGAUGGGUUCGGUCUCGACGACGUCAUGAAGGGGGCUGCAUCGCUGUCCGGGAAGAAGAGUGGCGAGGAGGAGAAGGAGAGCGGCGGCGGCGGCGGGUUCAUGAAGAUGGCUCAGGGGUUCAUGAAGUAG